GAUGAACGCUGGCGGCGUGCCUAAUACAUGCAAGUCGAGCGAACAGACGAGGAGCUUGCUCCUCUGACGUUAGCGGCGGACGGGUGAGUAACACGUGGAUAACCUACCUAUAAGACUGGGAUAACUUCGGGAAACCGGCGCUAAUACCGGAUAAUAUAUUGAACCGCAUGGUUCAAUAGUGAAAGACGGUUUUGCUGUCACUUAUAGAUGGAUCCGCGCGGCAUUAGCUAGUUGGUAAGGUAACGGCUUACCAAGGCGACGAUGCGUAGCCGACCUGAGAGGGUGAUCGGCCACACUGGAACGGAGACACGGUCCAGACUCCUACGGGAGGCAGCAGUAGGGAAUCUUCCGCAGAGGGCGAAAGCCUGACGGAGCAACGCCGCGUGAGUGAUGAAGGUCUUCGGAUCGUAAAACUCUGUUAUUAGGGAAGAACAAAUGUGUAAGUAACUAUGCACGUCUUGACGGUACCUAAUCAGAAAGCCACGGCUAACUACGUG
Molecule: ribosomal RNA, 497 nt
Filed under: uncultured bacterium
Lineage: Bacteria
Description: partial 16S ribosomal RNA
Rfam family: Bacterial small subunit ribosomal RNA
Source: RNAcentral